This 21-nucleotide unclassified non-coding RNA is filed under the name Chlamydomonas reinhardtii. RNAcentral's name for it is "small RNA Cre_0382". The record is from RNAcentral. Lineage: Eukaryota; Viridiplantae; Chlorophyta; Chlorophyceae; Chlamydomonadales; Chlamydomonadaceae.
ACUGCCCUCCAUUGCGUGAGC